GGGGGUGCCUUAAUACAUGCAGUAGAACGCUGAAGAGAGGAGCUUGCUCUUCUUGGAUGAGUUGCGAACGGGUGAGUAACGCGUAGGUAACCUGCCUUGUAGCGGGGGAUAACUAUUGGAAACGAUAGCUAAUACCGCAUAACAAUGGAUGACACAUGUCAUUUAUUUGAAAGGGGCAAUUGCUCCACUACAAGAUGGACCUGCGUUGUAUUAGCUAGUAGGUGAGGUAACGGCUCACCUAGGCGACGAUACAUAGCCGACCUGAGAGGGUGAUCGGCCACACUGGGACUGAGACACGGCCCAGACUCCUACGGGAGGCAGCAGUAGGGAAUCUUCGGCAAUGGGGGCAACCCUGACCGAGCAACGCCGCGUGAGUGAAGAAGGUUUUCGGAUCGUAAAGCUCUGUUGUAAGUCAAGAACGAGUGUGAGAGUGGAAAGUUCACACUGUGACGGUAGCUUACCAGAAAGGGACGGCUAACUACGUGCCAGCAGCCGCGGUAAUACGUAGGUCCCGAGCGUUGUCCGGAUUUAUUGGGCGUAAAGCGAGCGCAGGCGGUUUGAUAAGUCUGAAGUUAAAGGCUGUGGCUCAACCAUAGUUCGCUUUGGAAACUGUCAAACUUGAGUGCAGAAGGGGAGAGUGGAAUUCCAUGUGUAGCGGUGAAAUGCGUAGAUAUAUGGAGGAACACCGGUGGCGAAAGCGGCUCUCUGGUCUGUAACUGACGCUGAGGCUCGAAAGCGUGGGGAGCGAACAGGAUUAGAUACCCUGGUAGUCCACGCCGUAAACGAUGAGUGCUAGGUGUUGGAUCCUUUCCGGGAUUCAGUGCCGCAGCUAACGCAUUAAGCACUCCGCCUGGGGAGUACGACCGCAAGGUUGAAACUCAAAGGAAUUGACGGGGGCCCGCACAAGCGGUGGAGCAUGUGGUUUAAUUCGAAGCAACGCGAAGAACCUUACCAGGUCUUGACAUCCCGAUGCUAUUUCUAGAGAUAGAAAGUUACUUCGGUACAUCGGUGACAGGUGGUGCAUGGUUGUCGUCAGCUCGUGUCGUGAGAUGUUGGGUUAAGUCCCGCAACGAGCGCAACCCCUAUUGUUAGUUGCCAUCAUUCAGUUGGGCACUCUAGCGAGACUGCCGGUAAUAAACCGGAGGAAGGUGGGGAUGACGUCAAAUCAUCAUGCCCCUUAUGACCUGGGCUACACACGUGCUACAAUGGUUGGUACAACGAGUUGCGAGUCGGUGACGGCAAGCUAAUCUCUUAAAGCCAAUCUCAGUUCGGAUUGUAGGCUGCAACUCGCCUACAUGAAGUCGGAAUCGCUAGUAAUCGCGGAUCAGCACGCCGCGGUGAAUACGUUCCCGGGCCUUGUACACACCGCCCGUCACACCACGAGAGUUUGUAACACCCGAAGUCGGUGAGGUAACCUUUGGAGCCAGCCCGCCUAAAAGGGGGG
This 1444-nucleotide ribosomal RNA is filed under the name Streptococcus salivarius. RNAcentral describes it as "bacterial SSU rRNA". It matches the Rfam family "Bacterial small subunit ribosomal RNA". The record is from RNAcentral. Lineage: Bacteria; Bacillati; Bacillota; Bacilli; Lactobacillales; Streptococcaceae.